This 483-nucleotide ribosomal RNA is filed under the name uncultured bacterium. Its description in RNAcentral is "partial 16S ribosomal RNA". It matches the Rfam family "Bacterial small subunit ribosomal RNA", at positions 30 to 506 of the family's 1533-position model. The record is from RNAcentral.
AUUGAACGCUGGCGGCAGGCCUAACACAUGCAAGUCGAGCGGAUGAAGGGAGCUUGCUCCUGGAUUCAGCGGCGGACGGGUGAGUAAUGCCUAGGAAUCUGCCUGGUAGUGGGGGAUAACGUCCGGAAACGGGCGCUAAUACCGCAUACGUCCUGAGGGAGAAAGUGGGGGAUCUUCGGACCUCACGCUAUCAGAUGAGCCUAGGUCGGAUUAGCUAGUUGGUGGGGUAAAGGCCUACCAAGGCGACGAUCCGUAACUGGUCUGAGAGGAUGAUCAGUCACACUGGAACUGAGACACGGUCCAGACGCCUACGGGAGGCAGCAGUGGGGAAUAUUGGACAAUGGGCGAAAGCCUGAUCCAGCCAUGCCGCGUGUGUGAAGAAGGUCUUCGGAUUGUAAAGCACUUUAAGUUGGGAGGAAGGGCAGUAAGUUAAGACCUUGCUGUUUUGACGUUACCAACAGAAUAAGCACCGGCUAACUUCGU